Molecule: ribosomal RNA, 446 nt
Filed under: uncultured bacterium
Lineage: Bacteria
Description: bacterial SSU rRNA
Rfam family: Bacterial small subunit ribosomal RNA
Source: RNAcentral
UAGGGAAUAUUGGGCAAUGGGCGAAAGCCUGAUCCAGCCAUGCCGCGUGAGUGAUGAAGGCCCUAGGGUUGUAAAGCUCUUUCGCCAGGGACGAUAAUGACGGUACCUGGAUAAGAAGCCCGGCUAACUUCGUGCCAGCAGCCGCGGUAAUACGAAGGGGACUAGCGUUGUUCGGAAUCACUGGGCGUAAAGCGCACGUAGGCGGAUUUGUAAGUCAGGGGUGAAAUCCCGGGGCUCAACCUCGGAACUGCCUUUGAUACUGCGGAUCUCGAGUCCGAUAGAGGUGAGUGGAAUUCCUAGUGUAGAGGUGAAAUUCGUAGAUAUUAGGAAGAACACCGGUGGCGAAGGCGGCUCACUGGAUCGGUACUGACGCUGAGGUGCGAAAGCGUGGGGAGCAAACAGGAUUAGAUACCCAUGUAGUCCCUGAGCGGGCUGGCAAGGCGCAU